AGAGUUUGAUCAUGGCUCAGAUUGAACGCUGGCGGCAGGCCUAACACAUGCAAGUCGAACGGUAACAGGAAGCAGCUUGCUGCUUGCUGACGAGUGGCGGACGGGUGAGUAAUGUCUGGGAAACUGCCUGAUGGAGGGGGAUAACUACUGGAAACGGUGGCUAAUACCGCAUAACGUCGCAAGACCAAAGAGGGGGACCUUCGGGCCUCUUGCCAUCAGAUGUGCCCAGAUGGGAUUAGCUUGUUGGUGAGGUAACGGCUCACCAAGGCGACGAUCCCUAGCUGGUCUGAGAGGAUGACCAGCCACACUGGAACUGAGACACGGUCCAGACUCCUACGGGAGGCAGCAGUGGGGAAUAUUGCACAAUGGGCGCAAGCCUGAUGCAGCCAUGCCGCGUGUAUGAAGAAGGCCUUCGGGUUGUAAAGUACUUUCAGCGGGGAGGAAGGUGUUGUGGUUAAUAACCGCAGCAAUUGACGUUACCCGCAGAAGAAGCACCGGCUAACUCCGUGCCAGCAGCCGCGGUAAUACGGAGGGUGCAAGCGUUAAUCGGAAUUACUGGGCGUAAAGCGCACGCAGGCGGUCUGUCAAGUCGGAUGUGAAAUCCCCGGGCUCAACCUGGGAACUGCAUUCGAAACUGGCAGGCUUGAGUCUUGUAGAGGGGGGUAGAAUUCCAGGUGUAGCGGUGAAAUGCGUAGAGAUCUGGAGGAAUACCGGUGGCGAAGGCGGCCCCCUGGACAAAGACUGACGCUCAGGUGCGAAAGCGUGGGGAGCAAACAGGAUUAGAUACCCUGGUAGUCCACGCCGUAAACGAUGUCUACUUGGAGGUUGUGCCCUUGAGGCGUGGCUUCCGGAGCUAACGCGUUAAGUAGACCGCCUGGGGAGUACGGCCGCAAGGUUAAAACUCAAAUGAAUUGACGGGGGCCCGCACAAGCGGUGGAGCAUGUGGUUUAAUUCGAUGCAACGCGAAGAACCUUACCUGGUCUUGACAUCCACAGAAGAAUCCAGAGAUGGAUUUGUGCCUUCGGGAACUGUGAGACAGGUGCUGCAUGGCUGUCGUCAGCUCGUGUUGUGAAAUGUUGGGUUAAGUCCCGCAACGAGCGCAACCCUUAUCCUUUGUUGCCAGCGGUCCGGCCGGGAACUCAAAGGAGACUGCCAGUGAUAAACUGGAGGAAGGUGGGGAUGACGUCAAGUCAUCAUGGCCCUUACGACCAGGGCUACACACGUGCUACAAUGGCGCAUACAAAGAGAAGCGACCUCGCGAGAGCAAGCGGACCUCAUAAAGUGCGUCGUAGUCCGGAUUGGAGUCUGCAACUCGACUCCAUGAAGUCGGAAUCGCUAGUAAUCGUGGAUCAGAAUGCCACGGUGAAUACGUUCCCGGGCCUUGUACACACCGCCCGUCACACCAUGGGAGUGGGUUGCAAAAGAAGUAGGUAGCUUAACCUUCGGGAGGGCGCUUACCACUUUGUGAUUCAUGACUGGGGUGAAGUCGUAACAAGGUAACCGUAGGGGAACCUGCGGUUG
RNAcentral lists this ribosomal RNA (1521 nucleotides) under Salmonella enterica subsp. enterica serovar Infantis. RNAcentral describes it as "bacterial SSU rRNA". It matches the Rfam family "Bacterial small subunit ribosomal RNA". The record is from RNAcentral. Lineage: Bacteria; Pseudomonadati; Pseudomonadota; Gammaproteobacteria; Enterobacterales; Enterobacteriaceae.